Molecule: ribosomal RNA, 253 nt
Filed under: uncultured bacterium
Lineage: Bacteria
Description: partial 16S ribosomal RNA
Rfam family: Bacterial small subunit ribosomal RNA
Source: RNAcentral
UACGAAGGGUGCAAACGUUGCUCGGAAUUACUGGGCGUAAAGGGCGCGUAGGCGGCCCGCUAAGUCGAACGUGAAAUCCCCGAGCUCAACUCGGGAACUGCGUCCGAUACUGGUGGGCUUGAAUCCGGGAGAGGGAUGCGGAAUUCCAGGUGUAGCGGUGAAAUGCGUAGAUAUCUGGAGGAACACCGGUGGCGAAGGCGGCAUCCUGGACCGGCAUUGACGCUGAGGCGCGAAAGCUAGGGGAGCGAACAGG